AGUGAACGCUGGCGGUAGGCCUAACACAUGCAAGUCGAACGGCAGCACAGUAAGAGCUUGCUCUUACGGGUGGCGAGUGGCGGACGGGUGAGGAAUACAUCGGAAUCUACUUUUUCGUGGGGGAUAACGUAGGGAAACUUACGCUAAUACCGCAUACGACCUACGGGUGAAAGCAGGGGAUCUUCGGACCUUGCGCGAUUGAAUGAGCCGAUGUCGGAUUAGCUAGUUGGCGGGGUAAAGGCCCACCAAGGCGACGAUCCGUAGCUGGUCUGAGAGGAUGAUCAGCCACACGGGAACUGAACCACGGUCCAGACUCCUACGGGAGGCAGCAGUGGGGAAUGUUGGACAAUGGGCGCAAGCCUGAUCCAGCCAUACCGCGUGGGUGAAAGAGGCCUUCGGGUUGUAAAGCCCUUUUGUUGGGAAAGAAAAGCAGCAGGUUAAUACCCCGCUGUUCUGACGGUACCCAAAGAAUAAGCACCGGCUAACUUCGUG
Molecule: ribosomal RNA, 492 nt
Filed under: uncultured bacterium
Lineage: Bacteria
Description: partial 16S ribosomal RNA
Rfam family: Bacterial small subunit ribosomal RNA
Source: RNAcentral